RNAcentral lists this transfer RNA (72 nucleotides) under Camelus bactrianus (Bactrian camel). It matches the Rfam family "tRNA". Rfam says of the family: Transfer RNA (tRNA) molecules are approximately 80 nucleotides in length. Their secondary structure includes four short double-helical elements and three loops (D, anti-codon, and T loops). Further hydrogen bonds mediate the characteristic L-shaped molecular structure. tRNAs have two regions of fundamental functional importance: the anti-codon, which is responsible for specific mRNA codon recognition, and the 3' end, to which the tRNAs corresponding amino acid is attached (by aminoacyl-tRNA synthetases). tRNAs cope with the degeneracy of the genetic code in two manners: having more than one tRNA (with a specific anti-codon) for a particular amino acid; and 'wobble' base-pairing, i.e. permitting non-standard base-pairing at the 3rd anti-codon position. Lineage: Eukaryota; Metazoa; Chordata; Mammalia; Artiodactyla; Camelidae. RNAcentral also lists the same sequence under 2 other names. The record is from Rfam by way of RNAcentral.
GAGGGUAUAACUCAGUGGGAGAGCCCAUGCUUAGCAUGCUUGAGGUCCUGGAUUCAAUCCCCGGUAUCUCCA